GGGCAUUUGGUCUAGUGGUAUGAUUCUCGUUUAGGGUGCGAGAGGUCCUGAGUUCAAUUCUCGGAAUGCCCC
RNAcentral lists this transfer RNA (72 nucleotides) under Cucumis melo (muskmelon). It matches the Rfam family "tRNA". From Rfam's summary of the family: Transfer RNA (tRNA) molecules are approximately 80 nucleotides in length. Their secondary structure includes four short double-helical elements and three loops (D, anti-codon, and T loops). The record is from Rfam by way of RNAcentral. RNAcentral also lists the same sequence under 1 other name. Lineage: Eukaryota; Viridiplantae; Streptophyta; Magnoliopsida; Cucurbitales; Cucurbitaceae.